UCCAUAGGUGAAGGGGCGGCGGCCAUGGAGGAUUUGGGGGUGCGCGGUAUUGGAGUGGCACACCCGUGCUCAGGAGGCGAGGGGCGGCGGCCAUGGCGGCGGUGGGGGUAGCGCGGAUGCGGUGGUGGCGGAUGACGGCACUUAUCCCGAACUGCUGCCCCGUCGCUACGCUCUUUGUUUGCUUCGUCCUCGCCGAUCUCUCUGUCGCCGCCGCUGUCAUCUCCGACCUCCUUUCACGCUUGUCGUUGACAUCCCCAUCUUAAUGCUUCAUGCAGCAUUCCAGGUCUGGACGAACUCUAGCCCGACUCCGGGAUCUUCAACAACGGGAAAUGGCCAAGCGAUGGCAGAUGCUGGUCCUGCUGGGAAGGCUCCCAGCGGCAAGGACGAGGAUGACUCUGUGAUCUAAAGAUGAUGAAGACUGAUUUGAGAGAAAUCAUGGCUACCGAUUCUAGCUUCCUAGAAGAGAAAUUUUACAUGCUCUCCUUGCUUUCAGGUUCCCUGGCAAUGCAGUUUGGCAUUAGAUUUUUUGUUCAUCUAGUUUAUGGUGCGGUCUCACAAACUACUAAAACCUGGUGCUUUUUGGUGUUGGAUUGUACUCCAAGAACAUACAUCCUACGCUGCAGACCACUUUCUACCACUAUGUCCUUUUCUCUCAUAAUUGUUGGAGAUCAGUUUUAUACAUCCAUGACAGAAUCUGUGGGGUAGCUGAUACUGAUGCAUCGGCAGGCCCGAAUCUAGCUUCCUGGAUAUUCAUGUAAAUAUACAGGUCUGGAGGUGCAUGAAAUUAGCUGUAACUUUUCA
Long non-coding RNA from Lolium rigidum, 801 nucleotides. RefSeq lists it as uncharacterized. The transcript is spliced from 2 exons. The record is from RefSeq and is a predicted model, not a curated record. Lineage: Eukaryota; Viridiplantae; Streptophyta; Magnoliopsida; Poales; Poaceae.